CCUACGGGAGGCAGCAGUGAGGAAUAUUGGUCAAUGGACGAGAGUCUGAACCAGCCAAGUAGCGUGAAGGAUGACUGCCCUAUGGGUUGUAAACUUCUUUUAUAUGGGAAUAAAAUGUUCCACGUGUGGGAUUUUGUAUGUACCAUAUGAAUAAGGAUCGGCUAACUCCGUGCCAGCAGCCGCGGUAAUAUGGAGGAUCCGAGCGUUAUCCGGAUUUAUUGGGUUUAAAGGGAGCGUAGGUGGAUUGUUAAGUCAGUUGUGAAAGUUUGCGGCUCAACCGUAAAAUUGCAGUUGAAACUGGCAGUCUUGAGUACAGUAGAGGUGGGCGGAAUUCGUGGUGUAGCGGUGAAAUGCUUAGAUAUCACGAAGAACUCCGAUUGCGAAGGCAGUUCACUGGACUGCAACUGACACUGAGGCUCGAAAGUGUGGGUAUCAAACAGGAUUAGUUACCCCGGUAGUC
Molecule: ribosomal RNA, 460 nt
Filed under: uncultured bacterium
Lineage: Bacteria
Description: partial 16S ribosomal RNA
Rfam family: Bacterial small subunit ribosomal RNA
Source: RNAcentral